Molecule: ribosomal RNA, 497 nt
Filed under: uncultured bacterium
Lineage: Bacteria
Description: partial 16S ribosomal RNA
Rfam family: Bacterial small subunit ribosomal RNA
Source: RNAcentral
GAUGAACGCUGGCGGCGUGCCUAAUACAUGCAAGUCGAGCGAACAGAUGAGGAGCUUGCUCCUCUGACGUUAGCGGCGGACGGGUGAGUAACACGUGGAUAACCUACCUAUAAGACUGGGAUAACUUCGGGAAACCGGAGCUAAUACCGGAUAAUAUAUUGAACCGCAUGGUUCAAUAGUGAAAGACGGUUUUGCUGUCACUUAUAGAUGGUUCCGCGCCGCAUUAGCUAGUUGGUAAGGUAACGGCUUACCAAGGCAACGAUGCGUAGCCGACCUGAGAGGGUGAUCGGCCACACUGGAACUGAGACACGGUCCAGACUCCUACGGGAGGCAGCAGUAGGGAAUCUUCCGCAAUGGGCGAAAGCCUGACGGAGCAACGCCGCGUGAGUGAUGAAGGUCUUCGGAUCGUAAAGCUCUGUUAUUAGGGAAGAACAAAUGUGUAAGUAACUAUGCACGUCUUGACGGUACCUAAUCAGAAAGCCACGGCUAACUACGUG